CGGGUGUAGCUCAGUUGGUAGAGCAUCAGCCUUCCAAGCUGAGGGUCGAGAGUUCGAAUCUCUUCGCCC
This 69-nucleotide transfer RNA is filed under the name marine eukaryotic metagenome. It matches the Rfam family "tRNA". From Rfam's summary of the family: Transfer RNA (tRNA) molecules are approximately 80 nucleotides in length. Their secondary structure includes four short double-helical elements and three loops (D, anti-codon, and T loops). Further hydrogen bonds mediate the characteristic L-shaped molecular structure. tRNAs have two regions of fundamental functional importance: the anti-codon, which is responsible for specific mRNA codon recognition, and the 3' end, to which the tRNAs corresponding amino acid is attached (by aminoacyl-tRNA synthetases). tRNAs cope with the degeneracy of the genetic code in two manners: having more than one tRNA (with a specific anti-codon) for a particular amino acid; and 'wobble' base-pairing, i.e. permitting non-standard base-pairing at the 3rd anti-codon position. The record is from RNAcentral.